Molecule: transfer RNA, 83 nt
Rfam family: tRNA
About the family: Transfer RNA (tRNA) molecules are approximately 80 nucleotides in length. Their secondary structure includes four short double-helical elements and three loops (D, anti-codon, and T loops). Further hydrogen bonds mediate the characteristic L-shaped molecular structure. tRNAs have two regions of fundamental functional importance: the anti-codon, which is responsible for specific mRNA codon recognition, and the 3' end, to which the tRNAs corresponding amino acid is attached (by aminoacyl-tRNA synthetases). tRNAs cope with the degeneracy of the genetic code in two manners: having more than one tRNA (with a specific anti-codon) for a particular amino acid; and 'wobble' base-pairing, i.e. permitting non-standard base-pairing at the 3rd anti-codon position.
GCGGAAGUGGUGGAAUGGCAGACGCGCUGGGUUCAGGGUCCAGUGUCCGAAAGGGCGUGUGGGUUCAAAUCCCACCUUCCGCA